UGAUAGCUCAGUUGGUGGAGCAUGAGAUGCUUAAUCUCAGGGUCGUGAGUUUGAGCCCUACAUUGGACAA
Non-coding RNA from Podarcis lilfordi (Lilford's wall lizard), 70 nucleotides. The record is from the annotation of a GenBank genome assembly. NCBI's taxonomy places the organism in Eukaryota, Metazoa, Chordata, Lepidosauria, Squamata, Lacertidae.